Acanthosepion pharaonis is the source of this 109-nucleotide non-coding RNA. The record is from the annotation of a GenBank genome assembly. NCBI's taxonomy places the organism in Eukaryota, Metazoa, Mollusca, Cephalopoda, Sepiida, Sepiidae.
GUCACAACACGUUGAAACACCUGUUCUCGUACGAUCAUCGAAGUUAAGCAACGUCGAGCCUAGUCAGUACCUAGACGGGUAAUCGUCUGAGAAUACCAGGUGAUGUAAG